This 1234-nucleotide ribosomal RNA is filed under the name metagenome. RNAcentral's name for it is "bacterial SSU rRNA". It matches the Rfam family "Bacterial small subunit ribosomal RNA", at positions 245 to 1476 of the family's 1533-position model. The record is from RNAcentral.
CUUGUUGGUAGGGUAAUGGCCUACCAAGGCGAUAAUGGAUAGCUGGUCUGAGAGGACGAUCAGCCACAUUGGGACUGAGAUACGGCCCAGACUCCUACGGGAGGCAGCAGUGGGGAAUAUUGGACAAUGGACGAAAGUCCGAUCCAGCGACACCGCGUGGAGGAUGAAGGCUUUCGGGUUGUAAACUCCUUUUCUGGGGGAAGAAUAAGGUUGGGAGGAAAUGCCCAUCCGAUGACGGUACCCCAGGAAUAAGCAUCGGCAAACUUCGUGCCAGCAGCCGCGGUAAGACGGGGGAUGCAAGCGUUAUCCGGAAUUACUGGGCGUAGAGGGCGUCUAGGCGGUUGGAUAAGUCAUUUGUGAAAUCCCAGGGCUUAACCCUGGAAGGUCUUGUGAUACUGUCCGGCUUGGGUGUAGGAGAGGAGAGCGGAACUCACAGAGUAGCGGUGGAAUGCGUAGAUACUGUGAGGUACCCCGAUGGCGAAGGCAGCUCUCUGGCCUAUUACCGACGCUGAAGCGCGAAAGCGUGGGGAGCAAAGGGGAUUAGAUACCCCCGUAGUCCACGCCGCAAACGAUGUUCACUUGGUGUCGGGAGCCUAUAUAUCUCGGUGCCGGAGCUAACGCGUUAAGUGAACCGCCUGAGGAGUACGGCCGCAAAGCUAAAACUCAAGAGAAUUGACGGGUCCCCGCACAAGCGGUGGAGCACGUGGUUUAAUUCGAUAAGCGAAGAACCUCACCUGGGCUUGACAUACUAGUGGUAAGAACCGGAAACGGUGAUGACCUUUCCUUCGGGUUAGGAGCUAGUACAGGUGAUGCAUGGCUGUCGUCAGCUCGUGUCGUGGGAUGUAGGGUUAAGUCCCGAAACGAGCGCAACCCUUGUCACUAGUUGCCAGCGGAUAAUGCCGGGGACUCUAGUGAGACUGCUGGUGAAUAGCCGGAGGAAGGCGGGGAUGACGUCAAGUCAUCAUGUCCCUUAUGCCCAGGGCGACACACAUGCUACAAUGGGAAGUACAAAGGGUUGCAAUACGGUAACGUGGAGCCAAUCUCAAAAAACUUCCCCCAGUUCGGAUUGUGGUCUGCAACUCGACCACAUGAAGCCGGAAUCGCUAGUAAUCGUGGGUCAGCCAUACCACGGUGAAUAUGUACUCGGGGAUUGUACACACCGCCCGUCACACCAACCGAGUGGGGGGUACCUGAAGUCGCUCUUUUGAGGGCGCCUAAGGUAACCUUCGCAAGA